UACGGGAGGCAGCAGUGGGGAAUAUUGCACAAUGGGCGCAAGCCUGAUGCAGCCAUGCCGCGUGUAUGAAGAAGGCCUUCGGGUUGUAAAGUACUUUCAGCGGGGAGGAAGGCGAUGUGGUUAAUAACCGCGUCGAUUGACGUUACCCGCAGAAGAAGCACCGGCUAACUCCGUGCCAGCAGCCGCGGUAAUCGGAGGGUGCAAGCGUUAAUCGGAAUUACUGGGCGUAAAGCGCACGCAGGCGGUCUGUUAAGUCAGAUGUGAAAUCCCCGGGCUUAACCUGGGAACUGCAUUUUGAACUGGCAGGCUUGAGUCUCGUAGAGGGGGUAGAAUUCCAGGUGUAGCGGUGAAUGCGUAGAGAUCUGGAGGAAUACCGGUGGCGAAGGCGGCCCCUGGGACGAGACUGACGCUCAGGGU
Molecule: ribosomal RNA, 417 nt
Filed under: uncultured bacterium
Lineage: Bacteria
Description: bacterial SSU rRNA
Rfam family: Bacterial small subunit ribosomal RNA
Source: RNAcentral